This 450-nucleotide ribosomal RNA is filed under the name uncultured bacterium. RNAcentral describes it as "bacterial SSU rRNA". It matches the Rfam family "Bacterial small subunit ribosomal RNA", at positions 48 to 518 of the family's 1533-position model. The record is from RNAcentral.
UUCAUACAUGCAAGUCGAACGAGAAUCUGACUUCGGUCAGAGGAAAGUGGCGGACGGGUGAGUAAUGUGUAGAGAAUCUGCCCUAGAGUGGGGGACAACAGUUGGAAACGACUGCUAAUACCCCAUAUGCGCGUACUUGAGAUAGUAUUCGUGAAAACUCCGGUGCUCUGGGAUGAGUCUGCAUCUGAUUAGCUAGUUGGCGGUGUAAUGGACCACCAAGGCGACGAUCAGUAGCUGGUUUGAGAGGAUGAUCAGCCACAAUGGGACUGAGACACGGCCCAUACUCCUACGGGAGGCAGCAGUAGGGAAUUUUGCGCAAUGGGGGAAACCCUGACGCAAGCAACGCCGCGUGAUUGAAUAAGCCCUUCGGGGUGUAAAGAUCUGUCAGUAGGGACGAAACUUGACGGUACCUACAGAGGAAGCAUCGGCUAACUCCGUGCCAGCAGCUGC